Molecule: small nuclear RNA, 23 nt
Filed under: Arabidopsis thaliana (thale cress)
Lineage: Eukaryota; Viridiplantae; Streptophyta; Magnoliopsida; Brassicales; Brassicaceae
Description: snRNA_04646
Source: RNAcentral
AAUUUCCACCAUCAACUUUCAUA